UGUUGUGUGUCGUCCGCGCUGCGUUACACGUGCGUAAGAGCAAGCUCGUCUACGCACCAUCUCGUGGUCUCCUCGUCGUCAUAUACACGCGAAUGCGCCGACCCAAACGAACUCGUUCGUUCUCACUGGAAAGAAGCAACACGUCCUCUGCGAUGCAGGAAGAAUAAUAACGGACACACUACUGGCAAUCAUCAAUGACAAUGCACUUAAAGUUUGAAAAAGGAUCAUGGAAACAUCGAGGGUGCUAUACCCUGGAUUACCCUUCAUCACUGACAAGGGUUGAUUCAAGCAGGAUAUGGAACACGAGAACACUUGUCAUCUCUCAUGCACGUGGCAAAUACAGCUCUUUUUCACAUCCCGUCUAUCGAUGAUGAAAAUCUUAAAAUACUUUGUGUUUAUUAUACUGUGAUCUAAAAAAACUUGUGUGUAUUAGACAUUUUCAAAAAGAUUUGUAAAAAUGUAAUUAUAAAGCAU
Molecule: unclassified non-coding RNA, 474 nt
Filed under: Pogonomyrmex barbatus (red harvester ant)
Lineage: Eukaryota; Metazoa; Arthropoda; Insecta; Hymenoptera; Formicidae
Description: uncharacterized LOC112552941, transcript variant X2
Source: RNAcentral